This is a long non-coding RNA of Rhopalosiphum padi (bird cherry-oat aphid), 1399 nucleotides long. RefSeq lists it as uncharacterized. NCBI's taxonomy places the organism in Eukaryota, Metazoa, Arthropoda, Insecta, Hemiptera, Aphididae. The transcript is spliced from 4 exons. The record is from RefSeq and is a predicted model, not a curated record.
AUACAACCAAUAAUUCACCAAAACUGGUACACACUAAACAUUUAUAAAAAUAAAAAGUUUUACUUAUUAAAUGUUUAUAGGUACACGUAAACUUCUCGACAGUCGACCAACAUAUAAAGUUCCUAAUUAUAUAUUGUAUUCUUUUUUCAUAGGUUGUCCAAUGAUCUCAUACAAUACGAUCAAAAAGUUGCAUUACUUUCACAUGCAUUCAUAGUUAAACAUCGUCAAUUAGAUAAAAAAAGUUGGAAUAUAAUUUUAUUUACUAUAUUCAUUUACUGUGUUGGCUUCUUGAUAAUACAAAUACACCUUUGGAAACCACACCUUAGUAAUAUUACUUUCAUUAUAUACUUUUUUAAUUUCCCGUACAUUACGGAUUAUGUGGUUAUAAUUUUGACUUGUUUUCAUCUCGUUAACAUAGGAAAUAGAUUUCAAACAUUAAAUGAUUUUUGGAAAUGCCUUCCUGCUGAUUUAAUCCCCCUAAGUAAUGAAUGGACACAUUCGGAAAUAGCAAUGUUAGUGGAAACCAUCAGGUUAUUGCACGCGGAACUAUGUACAAUAUUAAAAUUAUUCAAUUAUAGUUAUGGUCCGUUACUUUUAGGAUUUUUUGUAUGUAAUUUCUUAGAUUUUACAUACAUAAUAUACUUAAUGAUUUAUCAUGAGAUAGAUUCACCAAAAAUCAGUUUAACCCAAAAUAUUAUAAAAUAUAUUCCAGUACACUUGGUUAACAUUCAAAUUAUAGUUUUUUUGAUGUCUAUUAUUGUUGCUGCAUCUCGGAUAACUGAUAAGGUAUUGUUUUUUUUCUAAUAAGCCACCAUCACAUUAUUAUUUACAUAAUACAUAUUUUUAAGUUUAUUAUAUUGUGUAAUAUACGUUUUAAUAUUUUUCAAUUGAAAUUUCAGAAAAAUAAAAUUAUAUCAAUAUUAAGGUUGAUACGGAUUUCAAAGUUACCUGUCGACUUAAAAAUUCAAAUUAAAAUGUUUAUGAACCAAACACCAGUAUUAGAAUUUAACGACGUAAAUUCAUGGGGAUUUUUUAAUAUCAAUUUGAAUCUAGUCAUAUCAAUCAUGUUGUUACUUUUAACAGGAUUUGCAACAUUGUUACAAAUGAAAAACCAUACAAUUAUUUUAGAUAUGGUCAAUAACACAAAGCUCCAUCACGAUAAAUGGUAAAAUAGAAGUUUCAAAUCCAGCACUGAGCCUUAUACAUACUACCACAUGAGAUUUACUGUAUUAUCACUUUUAAAUGUUAAUAAUAAGAAUUGAAAAAACAAUGAAAUUAUGAACAAAAUGUUAAAUUUCUUUAGUUAUUUUAUAGUUAAACUAAAAAUGAUGUAUUAUUAUUAUUUGUCAGAUGUAACAUAGAUUAAGAAUUAUUAUUUAAUCGUAGCCUGGUAAGUAUG